This 1661-nucleotide long non-coding RNA is filed under the name Nicotiana benthamiana. Its description in RNAcentral is "long non-coding RNA (NBEN_LNC002954)". The record is from RNAcentral. Lineage: Eukaryota; Viridiplantae; Streptophyta; Magnoliopsida; Solanales; Solanaceae.
UUCAAACACCCUCUUGUCUCUCAUUUUCUCCAACUCAGAUUGAAGAAACCCCAACGCGGCCUUGAGUUGUAUGCCAUUAUAGCCCGCGGUGCCAUUUCCAAACAACAACCAUAUUUCAACCACAACACUCCCAUGACUUCCCCUCUAUAAAUUCACUAUCAAUAACCAUCGAAUCAUGAUAAAUCAGAUCCAAUAUUAGAAUUAAAAAAUGCAGAAAAAAUAACAAUCGAAAAUCUCAAUCUCUUCAAUCUUCAAUGGCCGGUUAGGGUCUAAAUUGUUGUUUCUCAUUGGUUUUUAACAAGAACCUGCGACGAACACAAAUUUCGGCUCGAAAUUGGAAUGACAAAGGUCAUCCACGCCAUGAUCUUUCAUGUUUUCUGUUAGGUACUCUCUUUUCUUUUUCUUUUGUCAUUCUUUUAUUUUUUUCUCACCUUCAUCUUUUUCUGUCCUCCUCUUUUCUUUUCCUUUUUGUUUGUUAACAGAUUUACAUGAUUUGAUUUUUAGCAAAUUUAUUUUGUUUAGUUUUGGUUCUUGUUUUUUAGUGUUAAUUAGUCCCUUUUUCUUUCUCUUUUAUUUUUGUUUCAUUUCAAAGGACUUCUGAUUUUUUCUUUUGGGUUGUUUCCGGUUUAACUUUUAUAAGUUGACUUGGGUUUUACAAUCAGAAGCCCAAAAAAUGGAUUCAACCUGGGUUUUACAUAUCCAUGAUAAUUUAACCUUGGGUUAACAUUAACCCAUUUGGAAAUCUUCCUAGAAAGUGGGGAUUGGGUCUGAUUUUUAAAAACUGAUUUUAAACUAAAGAUAAAGUAGCAAAAAUAAAAAUUCCAAAAGAAUCAAAGGGCAAUAAAUUGACCCAUUUCUAUUGCCCUAAGGCUUGCCCAUAAAGGCAUUGUAACCUCAUUCUCAAGUUAGAUUUUUGAAUAAUUACAACACUAAAAAGCUUUUUAAAAUGGCUAAGCUAAUAGAACUAAAAAAUUCUUGUAUUUUUGGUAGAAAUUGAUCCAAAAUUCUGUGACUAGUCUUUCAAUUUCGAAACAUUCAAAGGAUUUCUAGCUUAUUCUAGGAUUCAAGAUGGUUUAAAGGUUGUUUGAUCACUGUUCCAUUGCUGAUUUUUUGACUAGAUUCAGCUGUUGCUUCCCAUUUGUUGAAUUACUACUAUUGUUGCUUAAUAUCUUCAGGAUUUUUUGUUGUUUACUUGUUGUACCAAGGUACACAUCUCUGAUUGUGAAUAUGUAGGAUUGGCUCAUUUGGCUUGAAGAAAUGAAGAUCUCCUCAUAUACUCGAUGCUUUUCAUUUGUCUUUUAUUUUAAUUUGUUAAUUAAUUUUCCUGUUUAGCAUGCCAAAAAUGAUAUUAUGCUAUGAACAUUUGAGACUUAUGAUGAGGGUUGUAUUUGGACUCUCAUUUUUUUGUGGUAAUUUUAGUUUGUUUGAAAUCAUUUCUCCUGAAUGUGGAUAGUUGUAUUGUCAUGUAUGAGAUCCAUGUGAGAUAGUUAGUACUACUGUUAUGUCUUUUCUUUUGAAUCAGAUGUUGUAGUCUUAGUGCUAUCCGAUUUCAUUUUAUUUUUUUCACAAAUGACUAAGUAAUGAAUUUGGUCUGUUUCGAGUUCAUGUUGAAGGAUUUACCCUUCUCUUCUUGAAAUAUAUAGUUGUAACAAUUUGACUUA